Molecule: ribosomal RNA, 467 nt
Filed under: uncultured bacterium
Lineage: Bacteria
Description: partial 16S ribosomal RNA
Rfam family: Bacterial small subunit ribosomal RNA
Source: RNAcentral
GACGAACGCUGGCGGCGUGCUUAACACAUGCAAGUCGAACGGAAAGGCCUCUUUCGGGGGGUACUCGAGUGGCGAACGGGUGAGUAACACGUGAGUAACCUGCCCUUGACUUUGGGAUAACUUCAGGAAACUGGGGCUAAUACCGGAUAGGAGCUCCUGCUGCAUGGUGGGGGUUGGAAAGUUUCGGCGGUUGGGGAUGGACUUGCGGCUUAUCAGCUUGUUGGUGGGGUAGUGGCUUACCAAGGCUUUGACGGGUAGCCGGCCUGAGAGGGUGACCGGCCACAUUGGGACUGAGAUACGGCCCAGACUCCUACGGGAGGCAGCAGUGGGGAAUAUUGCACAAUGGGUGGAAGCCUGAUGCAGCAACGCCGUGUGCGGGAUGACGGCCUUCGGGUUGUAAACCGCUUUCGCUCAUAACGAAGCUUUGUGUGACGGUAGUGGGUAAAGAAGCACCGGCUAACUACGUG